Molecule: long non-coding RNA, 1325 nt
Organism: Helianthus annuus (common sunflower)
Lineage: Eukaryota; Viridiplantae; Streptophyta; Magnoliopsida; Asterales; Asteraceae
Exons: 7
Source: RefSeq, a predicted model, not a curated record
AGAUGGCAAACAACAAAAACCCAAAUCUUAUUUCAAAAUUUAAACCCUAAUUGAGUAUUUUCAGCGCCGUUAAAAAAAUAAAAAAGAAGCUUUCAGGGUUUCUCAGAUGUCAUCGCCACUUUCUCCACCUUCUUCCUAUCUUCGGCAUGGCUAUCUCUGGAUGCGUUCUUUUAUCAUGUUAAUUGUAUGUUCUGCCUUCUAUAUAUAUGUAUAUUUUUUUUUCAUUUGCAUACAGAUUGUUUGUCAAAAAUUGUUUCACUCCUGGGUACCAAGGAAGAAACAUAUCAUGUUUAAUAUCAAAUUGAGAUUUGGGAUUCAAUCAUCAUCUCCAACGACGGUUCUGGUGGGUUUUACCCACUGCUGGAUGGUGUUGGUGGAACAAAUCAUUGGAGAUGAAGAUUGUGAUGUUGUGAUAACCGGAGAGGAUGAUGUGGGUGUUCUAUGGUGGUUAAGCAGCGGCCACAUCCACUCAUGGGGUUCUUUCUUGCCAAUAUUUUGGCUCAAGGACCGGCUACAAUGGGAAAAAGGUCAACUCAACACCAAAAUCGGUGGUUCCAUGAGGUUGUAAAGAUUCGUGGAAACAAUCCCAGACAUGGGCUUUUGGUAUUUUGUUUGAGGUUGAAGGGUUAAUUCAAGAUUAUAGCCAUCUUCAACAUCUGGGCUUCAACUGCAUUUUUGGGCAAAAAAUAUGUAACAUUGGUGAUGCAGUCAUCGGCUCCUAACCCAGGUUCUCCGUGGGUGUGAAAAGUGUACCAACUGCCAAAAGUCUAAUCUAGAGAAUACUGUGGGUGUGUUAACAAUGGCUGGUAAAAGGUUUUCCGUUUUCGUGGUUUGGUCACUCCCAUCUUGGCUUGCAUGCAUGGUUUAGAAGUAGGCGAUGAGAUGAACUUGGCAGCUGGGAUUUAGGUUGCCCAGUUGGCACAUAAGCAUCGCCAGAACAAAAAAACCCAACAACAAUGGAUAAUCGUGUUUGCAGGAGGGUUAGGGAAAUUGAGAGAGAAGCACAUGAAGAAGUCGGAACUCUGCCAGAGAAAGAUGCUAAACAAUAUGUUGCCCUUGACUUGAUUUCAAGGCUGAAGAACCAUCGGUUAUACGAUGAUGAUGAUAAUCCAAAAGAUUAUACAGCACCCAGGAUUGCAAGUAUAUAAGGAAAGUUCAAACCUUUAUACUUGACCCGUUAUCAAAUAAAUUCCAACCCAGUUUAACCAGUUUUCAUAUGAACGAUUUAAGAAUUAAGAUUGCCAGUUCGCCAUACCUUGUUAUUGGAGUCCAAUUGUUUCCUGCUUUAUACUUUCAUAGUAUGUGAUACAUGUUAAGAGAAAGAU